RNAcentral lists this ribosomal RNA (427 nucleotides) under uncultured Delftia sp. RNAcentral's name for it is "bacterial SSU rRNA". It matches the Rfam family "Bacterial small subunit ribosomal RNA", at positions 356 to 774 of the family's 1533-position model. The record is from RNAcentral. Lineage: Bacteria; Pseudomonadati; Pseudomonadota; Betaproteobacteria; Burkholderiales; Comamonadaceae.
GGGGAAUUUUUGGACAAUGGGACGAAAGCCUGAUCCAGCAAUGCCGCGUGCAGGAUGAAGGCCUUCGGGUUGUAAACUGCUUUUGUACGGAACGAAAAAGCUCCUUCUAAUACAGGGGGCCCAUGACGGUACCGUAAGAAUAAGCACCGGCUAACUACGUGCCAGCAGCCGCGGUAAUACGUAGGGUGCGAGCGUUAAUCGGAAUUACUGGGCGUAAAGCGUGCGCAGGCGGUUAUGUAAGACAGAUGUGAAAUCCCCGGGCUCAACCUGGGAACUGCAUUUGUGACUGCAUGGCUAGAGUACGGUAGAGGGGGAUGGAAUUCCGCGUGUAGCAGUGAAAUGCGUAGAUAUGCGGAGGAACACCGAUGGCGAAGGCAAUCCCUGGACCUGUACUGACGCUCAUGCACGAAAGCGUGGGGAGCAAACA